RNAcentral lists this transfer RNA (76 nucleotides) under Clostridioides difficile. RNAcentral describes it as "tRNA-Met(cat)". It matches the Rfam family "tRNA". From Rfam's summary of the family: Transfer RNA (tRNA) molecules are approximately 80 nucleotides in length. Their secondary structure includes four short double-helical elements and three loops (D, anti-codon, and T loops). The record is from RNAcentral. Lineage: Bacteria; Bacillati; Bacillota; Clostridia; Peptostreptococcales; Peptostreptococcaceae.
GGCGGUAUAGCUUAGUUGGCUAGGCGUCGGGCUCAUAACCCGAAGGUCGUAGGUUCAAGUCCUGCCUCCGCAACCA